CCAGCAUUUAGUUGGGCACUCUAAAGUGACUGCCGGUGCAAGCCGGAGGAAGGUGGGGAUGACGUCAAAUCAUCAUGCCCCUUAUGACCUGGGCUACACACGUGCUACAAUGGAUAGUACAAAGGGUCGCGAAGCCGCGAGGUGGAGCUAAUCCCAUAAAACUAUUCUCAGUUCGGAUUGUAGGCUGCAACUCGCCUACAUGAAGCCGGAAUCGCUAG
RNAcentral lists this ribosomal RNA (218 nucleotides) under Listeria monocytogenes. RNAcentral describes it as "partial 16S ribosomal RNA". It matches the Rfam family "Bacterial small subunit ribosomal RNA", at positions 1118 to 1338 of the family's 1533-position model. Lineage: Bacteria; Bacillati; Bacillota; Bacilli; Caryophanales; Listeriaceae. The record is from RNAcentral.